AGCGGCGGGAGGAAGAUGGAGACCCACAUCUCGUGCCUGUUCCCGGAGCUGCUGGCCAUGAUCUUCGGCUACCUGGACGUCCGAGACAAGGGUCGCGCGGCGCAGGUGUGCACGGCCUGGCGGGACGCCGCCUACCACAAGUCGGUGUGGCGGGGCGUGGAGGCCAAGCUGCACCUGCGCCGGGCGAACCCGUCGCUGUUCCCCAGCCUGCAGGCCCGGGGCAUCCGCCGCGUGCAGAUCCUCAGCCUCCGCCGCAGCCUCAGCUACGUGAUCCAGGGCAUGGCGAACAUCGAGAGCCUCAACCUCAGCGGCUGCUACAACCUCACCGACAACGGCCUGGGCCACGCGUUCGUGCAGGAGAUCGGCUCCCUGCGCGCUCUCAACUUGAGCCUCUGCAAGCAGAUCACCGACAGCAGCCUGGGCCGCAUAGCCCAGUAUCUCAAGGGCCUGGAGGUGCUGGAGCUGGGAGGCUGCAGCAACAUCACCAACACCGGCCUUCUGCUCAUCGCCUGGGGGCUGCAGCGCCUCAAGAGCCUUAACCUCCGCAGCUGCCGCCACCUCUCGGACGUGGGCAUCGGGCACCUGGCCGGCAUGACGCGGAGCGCUGCCGAGGGCUGCCUGGGCCUGGAGCAGCUCACGCUGCAGGACUGCCAGAAACUCACGGAUCUUUCUCUGAAGCACAUCUCGCGAGGGCUGACGGGCCUCAGGCUCCUCAACCUCAGCUUCUGUGGCGGCAUCUCGGACGCGGGCCUUCUGCACCUGUCGCACAUGGGCAGCCUGCGCAGCCUUAACCUGCGCUCCUGCGACAACAUCAGCGACACCGGCAUCAUGCAUCUGGCCAUGGGCAGCCUGCGCCUCUCCGGUCUGGAUGUGUCUUUUUGUGACAAGGUGGGAGACCAGAGUCUGGCUUACAUAGCCCAGGGACUGGACGGCCUCAAGUCCCUCUCCCUUUGCUCUUGCCAUAUCAGUGACGAUGGCAUCAACCGCAUGGUGCGGCAGAUGCACGGGCUGCGCACGCUCAACAUUGGACAGUGUGUGCGCAUCACGGACAAGGGACUGGAGCUGAUCGCUGAGCACCUGAGCCAGCUCACGGGCAUAGACCUGUACGGCUGCACCAGGAUCACCAAGCGCGGCCUGGAGCGCAUCACGCAGCUGCCCUGCCUCAAGACAGGAUUUCUCUGUAUUGCUGGCACCCGUCCUGGAACUCCCUCUGUAGACCAGGCAUUGAAUCCCUUGGAGCUGGACUUACAGGUGGCUGUGAGCCCCCUGACAAGGAUGCUUCCAACAGACCAAAGUCUUCUGAGUCUUCUGCAAGAGCCUCUGAUAAUCACUGAACUACACCUCCCCCCCUCCCCGCCAACUGCCUUCCCUUUGAUUCAACGUUAAAAUUGCUUGCUCUUCCAUUUGGUGAUAAAACUUUUUAAACCUUCAGUCAAAGAAACAAAAUCCCUUCACUGGGGCCAACCUGCCAAGAUUAACAGAAGAUCCCACUGGUUUGUUUCUUACUUUUACUGGAGAAAAAUUAACUUGCCGAGCUUCACAGUGACCCACUUAGCAUGGCGUUCACAGCUCAGAUGGCACAAGAAGGAACACACGUGGUGAAAUGCUGGCCCCUUACUCGUGGUCUGUUUCAUGCAGGUAUGAGCUAACAGGCGACUUCAACCUCACCUAUCACACUCCCACCCUGACUGUCAGCUUCAAGGACACAGACUUCACUGCAAGGUCACACUGAAAUGGCAAGGCACUGGAAUCCUUUCACUUGGCAGGUGGAUUUGUGCAAGGCCUUGGAAGCCUUAUGUAUCCAGUACUUUGAGAAUAGUCCCCAUAAUCACAGCCUACUAGAUACCAAUUUGGGAUGGACACAAGGCAGAUUCUAUUCUAUCCCGAGGGUUGGGAAAAAUAAACUCUACAAUUAACUAUCGCCAUGUAAAAAUAUGAUAUGUUCAAGUAUAUCUAAGCUAUAUGCAGGAUCCUAUUCUACAGGAGUGACUAAAUGACUUUCCGGACUAACAGUCACAGGACCAGCUAAUGAUUAGUGGUAAAAUAAGGCCACCCAGGGAGAGCCGUGCUGCUGGUUGGGGCAUAUCUAACUGGCCAGUGUUCUUGACCAGGAACAAAGUGGAAGGAGCUGAGUUCUGAGGUAGCAUGGGGCAGCCACUCAGACCCUAAGAUCCCCAGUCCUGGCCCAGACACAGAGCAUUCACCAUACCCUAGAACUGACAUGGGCACCGCUCCCUCUUUAACCCCACUCAACUCUCCCUUCAUAGCCAGACAAGAAACCGCUCGUGACACGAGCUGCUGCAUCCAGGGAAGACGGCAGUCACUCACGGAGAGCACGAUGUUCCUCCACUCAGCUUGCAGCUGUGCCAUCCCCUGCCCCGCCCCAUCGUGGCCCCGCCUCAGAGCCCGGGGGCCACACUUCCACUGGCAGCUCCUGCAUCUCUGCUCACCUGAUAGGAAAGGAGCACCAGGAAUGUACGCUCCCAGGAACUCAACCAAUGACUGGCAGGAGCUGCACGUGUGGACUCCAGCCCUGGUUUUCUUGGACGUGUCCUACCCUGGGCAGAAGGCUGGAACUCCCAUGGAUCACAGCGAUCUCCUGCUACUGACUCCACAACCACGUUUCAUUGGCCGCCUUCCCUCCCAUCAUCUCACAUUCCCACACCUCCCUGCCGGGCCAUUCAGCAGAUCGAGAUGUGAGCUCUCAGCUAUUUCUGCUCUACCAUCAUGGACUCUCACCCUCUGAAACUACUUAUCUUAUUGCUAUGUAUGUGAUGCCUGGUGCACACAGGACAGAAGAGGGUGUCAGAGUUCAUGGACCCAGAGCUUGGCAUGGCUGUGAGACCCUGAUGGGUGCUGGGAAGGGAACUCUGGUCCUGUGCAAGAGUGACAGCUGGUCCUGACUGCCGAGCCAUCUCUCCAUCCCGAGACUUUGGAAUCUUUUUUUUGUUUGUUUUUUGUUUUUUACGAGACAGGGUUUCUCUGUAUUGUUUGGAGGCUGUCGGUCCAGCACAGCCUCGAACUCACAGAGAUCCGCCUGCCUCUGCCUCCUGAGUGCUGGGAUUAAAGGCGUGCACCACCACUGCCCGGCGAGACUUUGGACUCUUAUGAGAUGCUGACUCUCCAAAGAGAUGGGAUUUUUAAAAGACUGCGGGAUUUUUCAACGUUGUGCUAUGUUUCAUAUUGUGGUAUUAAUGUGAACUCUUGGGGACAAACAUGAAAGGAAAGUUAACGUUUACAGUGAUACAUUUAUGUGUCAAGUUGACAAGGGGUCAGUUAUCCUGGUUAGUUUUUGUCAACUUGACAUAAACUAAAGACUCCUGAGGAGAGGGACCCUCAACUGAGGAAUUUACCCUAUCAUACUGGCCCGUGAGCAUGUCUGUCAGGCAUUUUGUUAAUUAAUGAUCCAUACCUGGGGACCCAGCCCACUGUGGUCUUGGGUUGCCCAAAAAACCAAGCUGACAAAUCACAGGAAACACAUGGGUAAGAUUCCCUCCAUGGUUCCGCUUCUGUUCCUGAUUGAGUUUCUGCCCUGGUUUCCCUCAGUGAUGGACUAUGGAAGUAAAAGCCAAGUAAACAUUUUCCUCCCCAAGUUGCUUUUGGUGGGUGUUUUAUCACAGUCACAGGCAGUCUAUCAACUACCUAGCCAGGGGACCACUCCUCAGGAAGGCUGACUCACUUAAAGCCAUGCUGAAGAGAUGGGAGGAAUACAUCAUUCUCUUUUCCUCCCCUAAAACCCGGACUUCAGGACUGUCACUUAUGGAGCAGCCAUGCAGCUCUGCUAAGCCUGUCCACUUAACUCAGAAGGGUGUAACAUUCCCGUUUCUUUUCUUUCUUUUUCUUUUUUCUUUUGGUUUUUCCGAGACGGGGUUUCUCUGUGGCUUUGGAAACUCUCCUGGAACUAGCUCUUGUAGACCAGGCUGGUCUCAAACUCACAGAGAUCCGCCUGCCUCUGCCUCCUGAGUGCUGGGAUUAAAUGCGUGCGCCACCAACGCCCUGCUAACAUUCCCUUUUCUAUCUUGUUUUAAAAUAGGGUCUCAAGAUGCAACCUUGGCUGGCCAGAAGCUUCCUUUGUAGACCAGGCUGGCCACAGACUCACAAAGAGCUGCCUGCCUCUGCCUCCUGAGCCAUGGGACUAAGGGCUUGUGCCACCACACCCAUCGUCUUCUUUCUGGGUACUAGCUAAAAUCUAAACUUCCAUUUUUUCUGACACUUUAGACUGUCUCUGAAGUUCCUCUACUUUAACUGUGUAGCUUUCUUGCUGCUAUGGGCCUGCUUGCUGGCCCCAGUCAAAAGGCAUGGCUACCUGCCUUCCUCUUCUCCAUGUCCCUCCUCCCUGCAGCUACUGGGGUGUACAGAUGGCUCAACCUGAUGUUUUCUCCCCAUCCCUCAUAAUAAAAUUGUCCACAAGCAUCCUACAAACUCCUGCUUUAAAUCACUUUACUAAUAUGAACUCAAAGGAGAACCCAUUUUCACAGUAACACAGAAGUUUCAGGGUGACAUACAUACAUACAUACAUACAUACAUACAUACAUACAUACAUACAUGUGACGUCCUGAAAGACUUCACAGGGAUCUACCUGCCCUGCCUCUGCCUCCCAAGUGUGGGGAUUAAAGGUGUGGUGCCACGAUGCCUAGACUCCUAGUAACACUUUUCGGGGCAUCACACGUUUGAGAGUAGGAUUGUAGCAUCUACCCUACUUGAAAUACCUUGAGCUUCCUGGAUCAAUGGUUUGUGCCUGGCAUUAUCUUGCAGAAAUCCUUAGCCAUUGUUUCAAGUAUUUCUUCUCCCUGUCCUGUCCUUCUGGUGUCCCCAUUACAUGUCGUUACACCUGUUGUGCUUGUCUCAGAGUUCUGUUUUCGUGGGGAAUUUGUUUUCUCUUUUAAUUUAAAACCGAUUUACUAUUCAGUAUCCCUAAAAUGGCAUAAAUAUACAUUCAUAUUUGUAUUUAUAUAUUUAGAAACAUAUCUACAAAUGUUUUGUUUCAAUCAGAGAUAAGGGUUGGAACAUAUGCCCUAGACACAAAGUGACACAGGUCAUCUGAAGAUACUCAUUUUUUUUUUUUUGGAAAUUUAACUUUUUAUUUAGAGUGUAUUUAUCAAAGAAGGCAUGCAAGCAUUAUACUGUUUUGUUUUUUUUAAACAAUCCGAUAGUUCUUUAAGACUUACAUAAGAGCUCCCUAACUCUCAACUAUCAUGCCAAAACCUGUUUCCCAUCACCAAUCAUUCCAACCUUUUAACUCGUUUCAGUGGGGAAUUUGAGACACAGUCUCACUAUAUAGCCUUGUUUGACCUGGAACUCACACUGUGUAGACCAGGCUGACCUCAAACUCAGAGACCCGCCUGCCUCUGCCUACCCACUACUGGGAUUAAAGGCGUGUAUCUCCACAGCUGGCUGUCUCAUAGUUCUUACUCGAAUCUCUUUAUCCCGAAUCCUUUUUUCCUCCUAGAUUUUCAGCUUUGCAGGUUUCUCCUGGUGCACCCUUAACGCAGAGAUGCCUCUUAGCUGUGUCCAUGGGGCGCUCCUUCCUUCCUUCCUUCAUUCCUUCCUUCCUUCCUUCCGCUAAGUGGCUUUGCUCUUUAGCUUUUCUUUUGUUCUGUUUCUCUCCCAUUGCUCAUCUGUUCUUACACAUUGCCUGCCUUUCCAUUAGAGCGCUAGCACAUUAAUCAUCGUCUAAAAUUCCUAGUCUGUUAGAGCCAACAUCCCUGCGACAGCUGAGUCUGGCUUUGAUGUUUGCUCUGUCUCAUUAUUUGCAUGUUAUUAUGUCUUGAGAUUUUUUUUUCCUUCACAGCCAGACAUGACUGAAGUCUUAGUCAUGUUGCUAUACGAAAAUACCUGCACCUGGGUAACUUAUAAAGGAAAAAAGUUUCUUCCGGUUCAAGUUUCUAGAGGCUGGAAAGUCAGUGACUGGCUAGCCGAAUCUGGUGAGGUUUUCCUUGCGUCACGGAGGAAAGCAAUACAAGAGAGCACACACAGAAGACAGAACAGAAGAGUGGACGGCUCCUCACUCCUCCAUCAGGGCAGCUUCAGACUUAGCCUUUGUUUUUGUUUCAGCUAAGACUCUCAUGGAAAACCAGCCAAAGUCACAAAGCCACUCUUUCUUCUGAGUAACUUAGAGUAAAUUUGGCUCCUUAAAUGUUGGAUUGAGCCAGGCGUUGGUGGCGCACGUCUUUAAUCUCAGCACUCGGGAGGCAGAGGCAGGCGGAUCUCUGUGAGUUCGAGGCCGGGCCGGACCGACAGCUUCCAAAACCCUGUCUCAUAAAACCAAAACAAAAAAUGUUGGACUGAGUAUGCCCACAAGUGUUUGUAACCACCAUAUUUCCUUCUUGCUCUAUGGCAAGCUCACGAUUGCCCACCACUAACGUACUCUCCUAUAAAGGAAAUAAAAACAAAAAUCCCCCUACUUCCUCUCCUUGGAGAAGCAUUACUUUUGAAGCGGUCCCAAUGCUCUCCUUGUCGUGGUUAAGAACUCUUUCUCCACUCUCUUCUCCUGGAUGAGCUCCUGGGCUUUGUGUAGGGACAUAUGUCCUGACUUUUGGGAGCAAGAACUCACAGGGAAAGGCAUUGCUACUCUGUGGCGCUCUGCUCCCGGGACCCAUCUCCCACCACUGCCACACCGAGGAAUUAAUGGUUUAACCCACAGACACAGCUGACCUGAACAUUCUUGGACUCCAGAUUGAUGGCUGUGUGGACAGCAUGGGACUGACCCAGACUCCUGGAGAUUGGGUGGGGGACUGGGGGACC
Mesocricetus auratus (golden hamster) is the source of this 6744-nucleotide RNA transcript. It is a transcript of the gene named F-box and leucine rich repeat protein 14, with no coding region annotated. The transcript is spliced from 4 exons. Lineage: Eukaryota; Metazoa; Chordata; Mammalia; Rodentia; Cricetidae. The record is from RefSeq and is a predicted model, not a curated record.